AGGGGUAUAGCUUAGUGGUAGAGCAUAUGCUUAGCAUGCAGGAGGUCCUGGGUUCAAUCCCCAGGAGCUCUA
RNAcentral lists this transfer RNA (72 nucleotides) under Camelus bactrianus (Bactrian camel). It matches the Rfam family "tRNA". Rfam says of the family: Transfer RNA (tRNA) molecules are approximately 80 nucleotides in length. Their secondary structure includes four short double-helical elements and three loops (D, anti-codon, and T loops). RNAcentral also lists the same sequence under 2 other names. Lineage: Eukaryota; Metazoa; Chordata; Mammalia; Artiodactyla; Camelidae. The record is from Rfam by way of RNAcentral.